This 329-nucleotide long non-coding RNA is filed under the name Elaeis guineensis (African oil palm). RNAcentral describes it as "long non-coding RNA (EGUI_LNC026777)". The record is from RNAcentral. Lineage: Eukaryota; Viridiplantae; Streptophyta; Magnoliopsida; Arecales; Arecaceae.
GCAGGAGAACAUCACUAGCUUUCAAUACCAACCUUCAACACAUAAGACCCUCCCAUACUCCUCUUAGCUCAGCCAUUGAAACCGUGACAUCAAAUAACUGUACACCGACGACCUCAUAUUAAAAUAAAAUUUCCAUGUGUACACCCUCAAGAUAACCUUUACAACAUAAAGCCCAUUAGUUAACCUUUUUCUUUCCAUGGGACCCAUUGGUUAGCAUUAGAAGAUUACUGAAUUGCUAUAAAACAAAGACCCCCAUAAAGAAAAAGGGUGGAAUCUGCUUUCAUUGCAGCAAUCAGUUCUUGCACAUAGAAUUAAACUAAGCAACCCCA